Molecule: ribosomal RNA, 468 nt
Filed under: uncultured bacterium
Lineage: Bacteria
Description: partial 16S ribosomal RNA
Rfam family: Bacterial small subunit ribosomal RNA
Source: RNAcentral
GACGAACGCUGGCGGCGUGCUUAACACAUGCAAGUCGAACGGAAAGGCCCUGCUUUUGUGGGGUGCUCGAGUGGCGAACGGGUGAGUAACACGUGAGUAACCUGCCCUUGACUUUGUGAUAACUUCAGGAAACUGGGGCUAAUACCGGAUAGGAGCUCCUGCUGCAUGGUGGGGGUUGGAAAGUUUCGGCGGUUGGGGAUGGACUCGCGGCUUAUCAGCUUGUUGGUGGGGUAGUGGCUUACCAAGGCUUUGACGGGUAGCCGGCCUGAGAGGGUGACCGGCCACAUUGGGACUGAGAUACGGCCCAGACUCCUACGGGAGGCAGCAGGGGGGAAUAUUGCACAAUGGGCGGAAGCCUGAUGAAGAAACGCCGCGUGCGGGAUGACGGCCUUCGGGUUGUAAACCGCUGUCGCCUGUGACGAAGCGUGAGUGACGGUAAUGGGUAAAGAAGCACCGGCUAACUACGUG